UGGGAGGCGAAGCCCUCUCCAUCCUUUUUGUCUUAUCAUCAUCGGCUGCUCUUUGAUUCGAUCUAUCCUUUUAUUCUCGUGUUCUCGGCUAUUUUUCCGUGAGAUUGUAGUUCGAUUUUGAUCUGCGAUCAUUCUAGUUCUUCGGUUUCUGCUUCGGACCAAGAAUUUCCCCAUUUUUUGAGGGUUUCGAUCGUCUCCCGCUGGAUCCGGCGGUUGAAUGAUCGAUUCCGGAUUUUGAUGCCGCCUUCUGAAGGUUGCAUGCGUGGUUGACAACGAGAGAGAGCACGCCGGUCCGCAAUCAUGCGGGCGGCCAUGGUUGUGUGUACCAGUGUGCUCUUUCUCGUCGUCACCUGGCUCGCUCGCCCUCGCGACGAAGCGUGUUCUGUGCCUAGAAGCCCUCUAGAUUGAAGGAAAGAAGAGAGAGUUGUAUUAAAUCUAUCAUGCCAGUAGAAUGCAAUCAAUAAAUUUUCAUCUUCUGGGCAAGCCAGCACAUUGUCUUGCUACCUGGGCAAGAACUUCAUCUUCUGACUGUUUUCGGGAAAUAGGUACCUACUUGCCCUAACAUGUGAUUGAUUGGUCGAAGUACAUCAAUGGCAGGAUACCAUGUGAGACAGAGAUUGACGCAGUCAUAGCAAUUGGUACUAUGAACUGUAUUUGGUCACAUAACUGAUCUUUCUCAUGAUGUUGAUAGUUUUGAACGAGUAUUUUUAAGUAUAUAGAAAUGGAUCCAUGCUUGGUUUAGUUUGAAAUUAAAACUUAAUUUGCUUUAUUAAUGUCUACUUUAAAACUUAUUGUUAUGUUUUUAACUGAAGUUUAAAAUGCUAAAUGAAAACUUUUAACAAAAAUCAUACCUUAGUUGCAGAUAGAUCAGAGUGAAAGAGAGCUCUAAUUGAGAGGAAAGAUGCAGCCUCGUCAGAUCACUGAAUGAGAGAGAAAGAAAAAGAAAGAGAGAGGAAUCGAAGAGAUGGCAUGAAAGAGACAUUUUAAGCACCAUGACAUGAUAACUUCGAAAAAUGAAAAGAAAGCUAGAUGGCUUGGCUUCCAUGCUUUUGAGGGCUUCAGUGGAUCGAGUUGGUGCAUAAUCCAGGACUUGGUUUCAGUCUACUUGUUUGAUCUCCAGCGAUAACCCGGUUCUGGUGCAUGAAAGGAGGUAAAUCACCUUUUACAGUCACCAGAUAAUGAGCAUAGACUGGAAUGAGGUCGAUAAGGAUUACAUCAUUGAAGAAGAAUAAUGAUCAUAAAUAAGCCAUCCAAUCAAAUAUGCAUUUGUAUGAUGAUAAGGAUGGAAACAUCAAAUGGCCAAAGAUCUGAAGGAUGCAAAUAUGAUUUCCAUCGCAAAACAAAGAUGCAAAUGCCUACAGAAAAACAUGUUCAGGGGAUUCAUUGGCUGCCACUAUAUCAGAGUUUCCAGCCACAAACUCCUCAAGGGUCAGAGCAGGGAGGGAGAGAAACUCCGGAGCUCCAUCCCGGUUGUGCAAUGUGAUAAUCGUCCUCGAUCCAUCGCAUCCAAUGUGAGUCACAUGCUGCACAUCCGUUGGGAAUCCAAUCUCCAUCUCCACCUCUUCAUCUUCCUCCCUCUGCAGUGCAAACAACUGAGCCAUGCUCUUGAUCAGUCGCUGCAGCGCUGCAGAUAUGUUGUGCCUCGGAAGAGGAGGAAACCCCAGCGAUCUCUUCAUCUCCAACCUCGGUAAGCUCUCUUGUACACCUUUUGAUAACAAAAAGAAGUUUCUCCUGGUAUCAUUUACUGAAAGGAACACAGAAUGGCAUUGAGAGAAAGAAUGAGAAGUUUACUUUGCGAUGAUUGAGUGAUUCUGUCGGGGCUUUCUUGUGCUGCUUUCUAUCAACCGAAAUAUCUCAUUGCGUAUUAAUGGAGAUGGAAAGGGCACAAUGGAGUGCAACAGAAGAAAGAAGGGACCUGCAGACAGAAUGGCUUAUCAUGACAUGGGGAAGUGUUUGUUGAAAUCUUUGACGAUGGAUGUCAUUGACUUGGUCAGCAAGUUAGCAGAUCUCCAUAGUCUAUAGCAGGGCAUAGACGUGUGGUUGGUUGCUACUUUACUCGUCGCUGGUUGCAGUGCCGCCUGUAGUCCUGUCUUGUGUUUCUGAGAAGCCUCCUAUGGUGUGGCAAAUAUGUGUAGCUAUUCUGUUGUGUCACUCACUGCCUCUCCCUUUUGAUCACUCAAAAUCUUAUCAAGAGUGCAAUCCAAGCAAUUCAUCCAAUCAUCCAGAACUGAUGCCAUCAUUUAGAAACAAGAUCAAGAACCUCCGAGUCAGUCAGGCGGUCACAGGAAAAAAGAAAAGAAAAAGGAAGAGAUAUGGGAGACUCCACUGUCGCUUUCUUUUGUUUGGAAUAUUGAAUGCUCUGGAGUGGACAAUGAUCAAGUACAAGUCACCAUCGGAAUCUAUAUCCAAGGAUGCUGCAGUCCUUUUGCUGGCCUUAAAAAGCAAAUGGAGUUUUGAGGGCUCCAGUUAAUUCUUUUGGAGUAUGUAACUUCAAUUCUUCUCUCCAACAAAUAAUCAUCCCAUCCCAUGGAAAUUUUAUUGUGCGAGUUCCCAACACUCGAAUGUAUCUGGUAAUCAUCUGUGACCUAUUCUGUAAUCUUCACUCGGAAGCCAUCUGCUGCCAUCAGCCCCCAUCACUGUUCAGGUAUCA
This is a long non-coding RNA of Musa acuminata AAA Group (dessert banana), 2650 nucleotides long. RefSeq lists it as uncharacterized. Lineage: Eukaryota; Viridiplantae; Streptophyta; Magnoliopsida; Zingiberales; Musaceae. The transcript has 6 exons. The record is from RefSeq and is a predicted model, not a curated record.